CUCCUGGGUUCAAGUGAUUCUCCUGCUUCAGCCUCCGGAGUAGCUGGGAUUACAGGUGGAGAUACUGAGGUUCAGAGCGGGUGAAGGACGUACCCAAGGCCAAAAAACCUGAAAGCGAUUUGA
Molecule: non-coding RNA, 123 nt
Organism: Macaca mulatta (Rhesus monkey)
Lineage: Eukaryota; Metazoa; Chordata; Mammalia; Primates; Cercopithecidae
Source: RefSeq, a predicted model, not a curated record